CCGGACCCCACUGCUAUCGAGAUGGGACUAAGGUAUGCUAGUCGAACGACCAGAACUAUGUCUGGAAGUGGCACACUGCUCAGUAACACGUAGCUAACCUACCCUUAGGACGUGGAUACCCCCGAGAAAUUGGGGUUAAUCCGCGAUAGGUGUAAUGUCCUGGAAUGGUAUUACGCCUAAAGGUGUAUCAUACAUGUUUGAUAUACGCCUAAGGAUGGGGCUGCGGCCGAUCAGGCUGUUGGUGAGGUAAUGGCUCACCAAACCUUUGACCGGUACGGGCCAUGAGAGUGGUAGCCCGGAGAUGGACACUGAGACAAGGGUCCAGGCCCUAAGGGGCGCAGCAACCGCGAAACCUCCACAAUGCACUCACGUGCGAUGGGGCUAUCUCGAGUGCCACCUGAUGAAGGGGGCUUUUCCUUGGUCUUCAAAGCCUUGGGAAUAAGAGGGGGGCAAGACUGGUGUCAGCCGCCGCGGUAACACCAGCCCCUCGAGUGGUGGGGAUGAUUAUUUGGCCUAAAGCGUCCGUAGCCGGCCGAGCAAGUCUUCCGUUAAAUCCAGCGUCUCGAGCGUUGGACCGCGGGAGAUACUACACGGCUAGAGAGUGGGAGAGGUCAGCGGUAUUCUGGGGGUAGGGGCGAAAUCCUUUGAUCCCCGGAGGACCACCAGUGGCGAAGGCUGCUGACUAGAACACGUCUGACGGUCAGGGACGAAAGCUGGGGUAGCGAACCGGAUUAGAUACCCGGGUAGUCCCAGCCGUAAACGAUGCAUGCUAGGUGUUGGGUUGGCCACGAGCCACCCCAGUGCCGCAGGGAAGCCGUUAAGCAUGCCGCCUGGGAAGUACGAUCGCAAGGUUGAAACUUAAAGGAAUUGGCGGGGGAGCAC
RNAcentral lists this ribosomal RNA (882 nucleotides) under uncultured archaeon. RNAcentral's name for it is "bacterial SSU rRNA". It matches the Rfam family "Archaeal small subunit ribosomal RNA", at positions 17 to 879 of the family's 1478-position model. The record is from RNAcentral.